RNAcentral lists this ribosomal RNA (229 nucleotides) under uncultured bacterium. RNAcentral describes it as "partial 16S ribosomal RNA". It matches the Rfam family "Bacterial small subunit ribosomal RNA", at positions 548 to 776 of the family's 1533-position model. The record is from RNAcentral.
GAAUUAUAGGGCGUAAAGCGCACGUAGGCGGCUUUGCAAGUCGGAUGUUAAAGCCCACGGCUCAACCAUGGAAGUGCAUCCGAAACUGCAGAGCUUGAGUAAUUAAGAGGAUCGCGGAAUUCCAGGUGUAGAGGUGAAAUUCGUAGAUAUCGGGAGGAACACCAGUGGCGAAGGCGGCGAUCUGGGAAGAUACUGACGCUGAGGUGCGAAAGCGUGGGGAGCAAACAGG